CAAAAGUGGCUGGAGACCCCAUGGAGGUCAGUGGUUCCUGAUGGGAUGACUCAGGGGACCCCAGAGGUGGAUGGAGACCACACUGGGGUCACUGGGACCUGAUGGGGUGACCUAAAGGACCCCAAAAGUGGCUGGAGACCCCAUGGGGUCAUUGGGGACCCUUGGAAUGGCCAUGGGGACCCCAGUAGUGGAUGGAGACCCCAUAGGGGCACUGGGGAUGCUUGGAGUGGUCUGAGGGACCCCAAAAGUGGCUGGAGACCCCAUGGGGGUCAGUGGGGACCUCUUGGGGUGGCCUAAGGGACCCCCAAAAGUGGCUGGAGACCCCAUGGGGGUCAAUGGGUCCUGAUGGGAUGGCCCAGGGGACCGCAGAAAUGGAUGGAGACCACAUGGGGGACACUGGGGACUCUUGGAAUGGUCUAAGGGACCCCCAAAAUUCAACAGAGACCCCGUGGGGUCUAUGGGACCUGAUGGGAUGGCCCGAGGGACCCCAAGAGUGGAUGGAGACCCCACUGAGGUCAGUGGGGACCUUUGGGGUGGUCUAAGGGACCCCAAAAGUGGCGGGAGACCCCACAGGGGCACUGGAGACUCUUGGAACGGCCAGAGGAACCCCAAAAGUGGCUGGAGACCCCGUGGGGUCACUGGGACCUGAUGGGAUGGCCCAGGGGACCCCAAAAGUGGCUGGAGAGCCCAUUGGGGUCAGUGGGGACCUCUUGGGGUGGUCUAAGGGACCCCAAAAGUGGCUGGAGAUCCCAUAGGGGCACCGGGUCCCGAUGGGGCGGCCCCGGGGUUCGCAGAAGCGGACGGAGGCAGGCGGGGCCGUCACCGGGAUUUAUUGGGGCUCCUGCCCCCGGCGCAGGCUGAGGACGCUGGGGUUGGGGUACUCGGGUUCCUCCACGGCCCCCGGCCCGAACUUGAGCUCCAGGAACUCGCGGGCGUUGUUGGGCCCCAUGGCGGUGAAGCCGGCGAAGGGCAGCGGCACGGUGGGGAGCAGGAAGCGCUCGGGGAACUCGACGUCCUGCGGGUGGCCCAGCCACGUCUCCUUGGUCAUCACCCCGGCGCGGGGGUAGAAGGGCCACAGGUCGACGUGCAGCCGGUUGCUGCGGCUGUAGUGCACGCGGUAGAACCCCCCCUCGGCCGCCCGCUCCCACACGAAGCCCUGCUCGUCCUCCACGGGGCCGCCCCGCUCCGCCUCCCGCAGCCAGCGGCACUUGGCCGCGUCCUCGCGGUAGAUGCCCAUGUCCACGUCGUAGUCCCAGGGGAUGACGUCCCGCAGGCGCACGGCGCCCAGCAGCGAGCCGCCCUCCAGCCAGUAGCGCACCCCGGCCCCUUCCAGCGCCGCCGCCACGUGCCG
RNAcentral lists this long non-coding RNA (1351 nucleotides) under Numida meleagris (helmeted guineafowl). RNAcentral describes it as "lncRNA (ENSNMEG00000006461.1)". Lineage: Eukaryota; Metazoa; Chordata; Aves; Galliformes; Numididae. The record is from RNAcentral.